This 84-nucleotide transfer RNA is filed under the name Desulfonema ishimotonii. RNAcentral describes it as "tRNA-Lys". It matches the Rfam family "tRNA", at positions 17 to 71 of the family's 71-position model. From Rfam's summary of the family: Transfer RNA (tRNA) molecules are approximately 80 nucleotides in length. Their secondary structure includes four short double-helical elements and three loops (D, anti-codon, and T loops). The record is from RNAcentral. Lineage: Bacteria; Pseudomonadati; Thermodesulfobacteriota; Desulfobacteria; Desulfobacterales; Desulfococcaceae.
GGGGAGUGUGUGAAGCUGUGUGAAAGUCUGACCGACUGACUCUUAAUCAGUAGGUUGAAGGUUCGAUUCCUUCACGGCCCACCA